RNAcentral lists this ribosomal RNA (506 nucleotides) under uncultured bacterium. RNAcentral's name for it is "partial 16S ribosomal RNA". It matches the Rfam family "Bacterial small subunit ribosomal RNA", at positions 29 to 523 of the family's 1533-position model. The record is from RNAcentral.
AUUGAACGCUGGCGGCAGGCCUAACACAUGCAAGUCGGACGGUAGCACAGAGGAGCUUGCUCCUUGGGUGACGAGUGGCGGACGGAUGAGUAAUGUCUGGGGAUCUGCCCGAUAGAGGGGGAUAACCACUGGAAACGGUGGCUAAUACCGCAUAACGUCGCAAGACCAAAGAGGGGGACCUUCGGGCCUCUCACUAGCGGAUGAACCCAGAUGGGAUUAGCUAGUAGGCGGGGUAAUGGCCCACCUAGGCGACGAUCCCUAGCUGGUCUGAGAGGAUGACCAGCCACACUGGAACUGAGACACGGUCCAGACUCCUACGGGAGGCAGCAGUGGGGAAUAUUGCACAAUGGGCGCAAGCCUGAUGCAGCCAUGCCGCGUGUAUGAAGAAGGCCUUCGGGUUGUAAAGUACUUUCAGCGGGGAGGAAGGCGGUGAGGUUAAUAACCUUGCCGAUUGACGUUACCCGCAGAAGAAGCACCGGCUAACUCCGUGCCAGCCGCCGCGGUAA